This 484-nucleotide ribosomal RNA is filed under the name uncultured bacterium. RNAcentral's name for it is "partial 16S ribosomal RNA". It matches the Rfam family "Bacterial small subunit ribosomal RNA", at positions 29 to 523 of the family's 1533-position model. The record is from RNAcentral.
AGUGAACGCUGGCGGCGUGCUUAACACAUGCAAGUCGAACGAGAACGGGUUAUAGCUUGCUAUAAUUGUCAGCUAAGUGGCGCACGGGUGAGUAAUGUAUAGGUAAUAUGCCUCUUACUAAGGGAUAACAAAUGGAAACGCUUGCUAAUACCUUAUACUCCUUAUUAACAGAAGUUAAUAAGGGAAAGAUUUAUUGGUAAGAGAUUAGCCUGUAUUGUAUCAGUUAGUUGGUGGGGUAAUGGCUUAACAAGACUAUGACACAUAACUGGUUUGAGAGGAUGAUCAGUCACACUGGAACUGAGACACGGUCCAGACUCCUACGGGAGGCAGCAGUGGGGAAUAUUGCACAAUGGACGAAAGUCUGAUGCAGCAACGCCGCGUGGAGGAUGACACAUUUCGGUGCGUAAACUCCUUUUAUAUGAGAAGAUAAUGACGGUAUUAUAUGAAUAAGCACCGGCUAACUCCGUGCCAGCAGCCGCCGCCG